GUAGGUGGCAAGCGUUGUCCGGAAUUAUUGGGCGUAAAGCGCGCGCAGGCGGUUCUUUAAGUCUGAUGUGAAAGCCCACGGCUCAACCGUGGAGGGUCAUCGGAAACUGGAGAACUUGAGUACAGAAGAGGAAAGCGGAAUUCCACGUGUAGCGGUGAAAUGCGUAGAGAUGUGGAGGAACACCAGUGGCGAAGGCGGCUUUCUGGUCUGUAACUGACGCUGAGGCGCGAAAGCGUGGGGAGCAAACAGGAUUAGAUACCCUGGUAGUCCACGCCGUAAACGAUGAGUGCUAAGUGUUAGGGGGUUUCCGCCCCCCUUAGUGCUGCAGCUAACGCAUUAAGCACUCCGCCUGGGAUACGGCCGCAAGGCUG
RNAcentral lists this ribosomal RNA (371 nucleotides) under uncultured organism. RNAcentral describes it as "partial 16S ribosomal RNA". It matches the Rfam family "Bacterial small subunit ribosomal RNA", at positions 527 to 896 of the family's 1533-position model. The record is from RNAcentral.